UACGUAGGGGGCGAGCGUUAUCCGGAUUCAUUGGGCGUAAAGCGCGCGUAGGCGGCCGCGCAGGCGGGGGGUCAAAUCCCGGGGCUCAACCCCGGGCCGCCCCCCGAACCGCGCGGCUUGGGUCCGGCAGGGGAGGGUGGAACGCCCGGUGUAGCGGUGGAAUGCGCAGAUAUCGGGCGGAACACCGGUGGCGAAGGCGGCCCUCUGGGCCGGCACCGACGCUGAGGCGCGAGAGCUAGGGGAGCGAAAGGG
This 252-nucleotide ribosomal RNA is filed under the name uncultured bacterium. RNAcentral's name for it is "partial 16S ribosomal RNA". It matches the Rfam family "Bacterial small subunit ribosomal RNA", at positions 524 to 776 of the family's 1533-position model. The record is from RNAcentral.